GAAUCUUACCGGGUCCGGACAUAUCGAGGAUUGACAGACAGUUACCAUGCCCUUUCGAAAGGAGUCAGGUUUUAAACCUAAUGGCUCUUUCAUGAUUAUAUGAUAGGUGGUGCAUGGCCGUUCUUAGUUCGUGGAGUGAUCUGUCUGCUUAAUUGCGUUUCAAAUUUUUAUUUGAGGACCAGGUUUUGGUUUGGGUAGUGGUCCUACGAUGACUGUGAACUGUCAUGUCUUCGGAUGUGCGACUAUCGGU
RNAcentral lists this ribosomal RNA (250 nucleotides) under Globigerinoides ruber ruber. RNAcentral's name for it is "partial small subunit ribosomal RNA". It matches the Rfam family "Eukaryotic small subunit ribosomal RNA", at positions 1210 to 1434 of the family's 1831-position model. The record is from RNAcentral. Lineage: Eukaryota; Foraminifera; Rotaliida; Globigerinidae.